AACGAACGCUGGCGGCAGGCUUAACACAUGCAAGUCGAACGCCCCGCCAGGGGAGUGGCAGACGGGUGAGUAACGCGUGGGAACAUACCCUUUUCUACGGAAUAGCUCUGGGAAACUGGAAUUAAUACCGUAUACGCCCUACGGGGGAAAGAUUUAUCGGGGAAGGAUUGGCCCGCGUUGGAUUAGCUAGUUGGUGGGGUAAAGGCCUACCAAGGCGACGAUCCAUAGCUGGUCUGAGAGGAUGAUCAGCCACAUUGGGACUGAGACACGGCCCAAACCCCGACGGGAGGCAGCAGUGGGGAAUAUUGGACAAUGGGCGCAAGCCUGAUCCAGCCAUGCCGCGUGAGUGAUGAAGGCCUUAGGGUUGUAAAGCUCUUUCACCGAUGAAGAUAAUGACGGUAGUCGGAGAAGAAGCCCCGGCUAACUUCGUG
This 431-nucleotide ribosomal RNA is filed under the name uncultured bacterium. RNAcentral's name for it is "partial 16S ribosomal RNA". It matches the Rfam family "Bacterial small subunit ribosomal RNA", at positions 29 to 507 of the family's 1533-position model. The record is from RNAcentral.